Manacus vitellinus (golden-collared manakin) is the source of this 3230-nucleotide RNA transcript. It is a transcript of the gene named kinesin family member C3, with no coding region annotated. The record is from RefSeq and is a predicted model, not a curated record. Lineage: Eukaryota; Metazoa; Chordata; Aves; Passeriformes; Pipridae. The transcript has 14 exons.
GGACUCCCUGGCCGAGAGAGCCGAGGAGGAGGAGCGGCUCAGCCGGCGGCUGCGGGACAGCCAGGAGACCAUCGCCAGCCUCAAAUCCCAGCCCCAGCAGAUAAAGUAUAUCAUCAAGACGGUGGAGGUGGAGUCAGCCAAGGCAAAACAAGCCCUGUGCGAGACCCAGUCCCGAAACCAGUACCUGCAGGAGCAGGUGGGGAUGCAGAGGCAGGUGCUGAAGGAGAUGGAACAGCAGCUGCAAAACUCCCAGAAGACAGAGGCUCAGCUCCGAGCUCAGAUUGUGAUGUACGAGGCUGAGCUGGAGCGAGCCCAUGGGCAGAUGCUGGAGGAGAUGCAGGCGAUGGAGGAGGAGAAGAAUCGUGCCAUUGAAGAGGCAUUUUCCCGUGCCCAGGUGGAGAUGAAGGCAGUGCACGAGAACCUGGCAGGUGUCCGGACCAACCUGCUGACACUGCAGCCAGCUCUGCGCACCCUCACCCACGACUACAACAGCCUGAAGCGUCAGGUCCGCGACUUCCCCCUGCUCCUCCAGGAGACCCUGCGCAGCGCCAGGGCCGAGAUCAGCCAGGCCAUCGAGGAGGUGCACAGCACCAACCGGGAACUGCUGCGCAAGUACCGGCGGGAGCUGCAGCUCCGCAAGAAGUGUCACAACGAGCUGGUGCGGCUGAAAGGAAACAUCCGUGUUUUCGGGAGAGUCCGCCCCAUCACAAAGGAGGAUGGUGAGGGCCCGGAGGCGGCCAAUGCAGUGACUUUUGACACCGAUGAUGAUGCUGUCCUGCACCUCCUGCACAAGGGGAAGCAGGUGUCCUUCGAGCUGGAUAAAGUCUUCCCCCCACAAGCAUCCCAGGAGGAGGUGUUUCAGGAGGUUCAAGCCCUGGUCACCUCCUGCAUUGAUGGCUACAACGUUUGCAUCUUCGCCUAUGGGCAGACAGGGGCAGGAAAAACCUACACAAUGGAGGGAACGGCAGCAAAUCCAGGGAUCAACCAGCGGGCCCUGCAGCUCCUCUUCUCCGAGGUGCGGGGCAAAGCAGCCGACUGGGAUUACACCAUCACCGUCAGCGCCGCCGAGAUCUACAACGAGUCGCUCAGGGACUUGCUGGGGAAGGAGCCACAGGAGAAGCUGGAGAUCAAGCUGUGCCCCGAUGGCAGCGGGCAGCUCUAUGUGCCCGGGCUCACCGAGUUCAGGGUGCAGAGCGUGGAGGACAUCAACAAGGUCUUUGAUUUUGGCCACGUCAAACGGGUGACAGAGUGCACCAACCUGAACGAGCACAGCUCUCGCUCUCACGCGCUCCUCAUCAUCACCGUCCGUGGCCUCGACCGCAGCACGGGGCUCCGCACCACAGGGAAGCUGAACCUGGUGGACCUGGCGGGCUCGGAGCGGGUCGGGCGGUCGGGCGCGGAGGGCAGCCGGCUCCGCGAGGCGCAGCACAUCAACAAGUCCCUCUCGGCACUGGGCGACGUCAUUUACGCCCUGCGCUCCCGGCAGGGCCACGUGCCCUUCCGCAACUCCAAGCUGACCUACCUGCUGCAGGACUCGCUCAGCGGCGACAGCAAGACCCUCAUGAUGGUGCAGGUCUCCCCUGCCGAGAAAAACACCAGCGAGACGCUGUGCUCCCUGAAGUUUGCCGAGAGAGUUCGCUCCGUGGAGCUGGGUCCUGUCUCCCGCAAGGCUGAGCUGGCCUCCUGGCCCAGCCAGGAGCAGCUGGAGGGUGACUCACCGGGUUCUGCAGCAACACCUGGCCGGGGCCACACAUCCCACAGCCCAGGGCAGCUCUCCAGUCGCUCCGCCUCCAUCCGCAGGAAGCUCCACACUUCAGGUGGGUGGUGGGGCACCUUGGGAGCCCAUAUGGGGUCCCUCCAUCCAAGGAGGUUCCCACCACAAGCCCGUGGCAAAGCCUGCAUGAGGGAGUGAGCAGAUUCGUAAUCAGCUCAUUAACUAAUUGCUAAUUAGCCAUGGUCAGCACUUCCCCAAGAGCACCCUGGUGCAAAGCUGCUGCUGGCGGCUCAGGGGGUGUGGGGAGGACAAUGCCACCAGGCUGAACUUCUCUCCCCUUUGAUUUCAGCCUGACUUAGGGGCAGCCGUGGCUGCCAGGGAAGCUGAGGUCGGUCCCACUGUGAUAAGUGCCAGCUCCCAGCUCGGGCACCAAACCCUCUCCAGGACCCAGCCCCUCACGGCGACACAGAGGUGGCUGCUGGAAGAAAUGAAGGCUUCAGUGCUGUUCCCUUGGUCACCAGGACCUGUGACCUGAGGGUGAUGGCACCUCUCACAAUGAGCAGUACAGGACCAGGGUCUCCUAGCAGCCAGAUCCCCCUCUCAGGGUGGGGGACAGUGGUGCUGGGCAGGAAUCUGCCCCCUCAGAUGCUCAGCUAUGUGACAGUUGAUUUUAGCCAGAGCGGGGAGCUGCUGGGUGCUCCCUCCAUCUCUCCAGCUUUGUUUUUACAAUGAAACUGGGUUGGAGGGGGUUCUUGGAGCUGGAGGGUGUGCUUGGAGCCAGGCUAGCCCCUGGCUAUGCCUCUGCUACCCCCACAGGGCCAGCCUGGCUAUGGCUCCCCCACGACUGCACCCAGGCAACUGCCCGUUGUCUUUCAGAGCAGCAUUUCCUCCAUGGUAAGUCAGAAAAAAAUUCCAGCAGCUCCUUCCCCCGUCGGUUUCUCAAGCCCUGUUGUUGCAUGAAGGCCCCUGGUGCCGUGCAUGAGCCGAGCUGCCGUUCCUCGUGGUGCCAGUGCUGCCAGGCCCCGGCACAGACCCGGAGCGGUCGCGGGCCGCCUGUGUUACACGGCACCAGGGGGAUUUCGCAGUCUCGAAUGAAGCUAUUGUAAAGUUAUUUACCAGUUGUCUUGUCAAGAGAGAUCACAGUGUGGUCGAGAUGAAAGUGUUUGAAAUAUUUAUGCCUGUUUACAUGGACUUGGAACGGAAAACUAAUGGAAAACAAGCAAAAGUACCCCAAACCUCCAGCCCAAAAGCCUGUUGGCUUAUGUCUGGGGAUGGCAGCUAGCAGGGGCAUGGGAAGGGGAUGGCACUGCCCGUGGUCCUGAGCACCCACCUGUGGGUACGUUUCCUCCUGCUGCAAAUACCUGCUGGAUGCACUGAUGGCUCCUUCCACCACGGCCCUCUCCUCUCACACUUCCACAGCAUAUUCUAUUUAAAAACAAAAAAGGGAAAAAUAAAUUUAGCCUUUUGUAUGAUUAAAUGUUUCUAUGUAUUUUAAUAAUUAAAAAUUAUCCUGUUU